AACGAACGUUAGCGGCGCGCCUAACACAUGCAAGUCGCACGAGAAAGGGCUUCGGCCCCGGUAAAGUGGCGCACGGGUGAGUAACACGUGGGUAAUCUGCCCUCGAGCGGGGGAUAACAUUCCGAAAGGGAUGCUAAUACCGCAUAAGACCACAAGCCUCGCAAGAGGUGGCGGUCAAAGCUGGCCUCUGUAUACACGCUAGCACUUGAGGAUGAGCCCGCGGCCCAUCAGGUAGUUGGUAGGGUAACGGCCUACCAAGCCAACGACGGGUAGCUGGUCUGAGAGGAUGAUCAGCCACACUGGAACUGAGACACGGUCCAGACUCCUACGGGAGGCAGCAGUGGGGAAUCUUGCGCAAUGGGCGAAAGCCUGACGCAGCGACGCCGCGUGAGUGAUGAAGGCCUUCGGGUUGUAAAGCUCUGUGGGGAGAGACGAAUAAGUUCAGGCUAAUACCCUGCAUGAUGACGGUAUCUCCUUAGCAAGCACCGGCUAACUCUGUGCCAGCAGCCGCGGUAAUAC
RNAcentral lists this ribosomal RNA (519 nucleotides) under uncultured bacterium. RNAcentral describes it as "bacterial SSU rRNA". It matches the Rfam family "Bacterial small subunit ribosomal RNA", at positions 29 to 526 of the family's 1533-position model. The record is from RNAcentral.